UCAAAAGUCACAGAGAACAAGACCAUCACCGUUAAGAUUAGAGCAAAUUGUGGCAUGGAUUCUAAAACUAUCACUUUGAAGGUCCAUCCUGAUUGUGCAAAACCACACGAAGACAGGAAGCAAGGGGCCCCAGCAACGACCCCAGUGACAGGAAGGAGCUUUGUGUUGAGCACAGAGGGGGAGGAAAAAAGUGAAAAAACACCAUCUCUUUAGCCUAGAGCUGAAGAACUUCUCCACACUCCUCCUCAAGACAUCGACGGGACAGGUCCUCUCCUCCACUUUGGUGGAAAAGGACUUCAUCUCAGCACUUCUACUUUUUCCUUCUCCACUCGACCUCGUCUCUGCACCACCUCGGUGGAACUCUGACAGUUUUUACUCUGUCCCGAUUCACGGGAGAAAAUAACCCGAAAGGGUAGAAAAACAAAAAAUAAAAAAUCAGACCCGAAAGGGUAUUAGAUAGACACUCCAUGUUCACCCACGGGUGAUAAGGGGAUCAAAAAAUAACGUUUGUAUUUAGUCUUUUGUCUUGAAUAAACGGGUUGACAUA
This is a long non-coding RNA of Oryzias melastigma (Indian medaka), 547 nucleotides long. RefSeq lists it as uncharacterized. Lineage: Eukaryota; Metazoa; Chordata; Actinopteri; Beloniformes; Adrianichthyidae. The record is from RefSeq and is a predicted model, not a curated record. The transcript is spliced from 2 exons.